GCGCGGCGAAAAACCUUUACACACAGUGUUUUUUGUUAUUACAAGAACUUUUGCUUUGGUCUGGACUAGAAAUAGUUUGGGCCAGAGGUUUACUGAACUAAACUUCAAUAUUUAUAUUGAAUUGUUAUUUAUUUAAUUGUCAAUUUGUUGAUUAAAUUCAAAAAAUCUUCAAAACUUUCAACAACGGAUCUCUUGGUUCUCGCAUCGAUGAAGAACGCAGCGAAAUGCGAUAAGUAAUAUGAAUUGCAGAUUUUCGUGAAUCAUCGAAUCUUUGAACGCACAUUGCGCCCUCUGGUAUUCCAGAGGGCAUGCCUGUUUGAGCGUCAUUUCUCUCUCAAACCUUCGGGUUUGGUAUUGAGUGAUACUCUUAGUCGAACUAGGCGUUUGCUUGAAAUGUAUUGGCAUGAGUGGUACUGGAUAGUGCUAUAUGACUUUCAAUGUAUUAGGUUUAUCCAACUCGUUGAAUAGUUUAAUGGUAUAUUUCUCGGUAUUCUAGGCUCGGCCUUACAAUAUAACAAACAAGUUUGACCUCAAAUCAGGUAGGAUUACCCGCUGAACUUAAGCAUAUCAA
This 571-nucleotide ribosomal RNA is filed under the name Debaryomyces sp. Z9Y7. RNAcentral describes it as "eukaryotic LSU rRNA". The stretch from base 173 to 326 matches the Rfam family "5.8S ribosomal RNA". The record is from RNAcentral. Lineage: Eukaryota; Fungi; Ascomycota; Pichiomycetes; Serinales; Debaryomycetaceae.